GGCGAACGGGUGAGUAACACGUGGGUGAUCUGCCCUGCACUCUGGGAUAAGCCUGGGAAACUGGGUCUAAUACCGGAUAUGAGCUCCUGUCGCAUGGCGGGGGUUGGAAAGGUUUACUGGUGCAGGAUGGGCCCGCGGCCUAUCAGCUUGUUGGUGGGGUAAUGGCCUACCAAGGCGACGACGGGUAGCCGGCCUGAGAGGGCGACCGGCCACACUGGGACUGAGACACGGCCCAGACUCCUACGGGAGGCAGCAGUGGGGAAUAUUGCACAAUGGGCGAAAGCCUGAUGCAGCGACGCCGCGUGAGGGAUGACGGCCUUCGGGUUGUAAACCUCUUUCAGCAGGGACGAAGCGAGAGUGACGGUACCUGCAGAAGAAGCACCGGCCAACUACGUGCCAGCAGCCGCGGUAAUACGUAGGGUGCGAGCGUUGUCCGGAAUUACUGGGCGUAAAGAGCUCGUAGGCGGUUUGUCGCGUCGUCCGUGAAAACUUGGGGCUCAACCCCAAGCUUGCGGGCGAUACGGGCAGACUUGAGUACUGCAGGGGAGACUGGAAUUCCUGGUGUAGCGGUGAAAUGCGCAGAUAUCAGGAGGAACACCGGUGGCGAAGGCGGGUCUCUGGGCAGUAACUGACGCUGAGGA
Molecule: ribosomal RNA, 641 nt
Filed under: Rhodococcus sp. I15A-00853
Lineage: Bacteria; Bacillati; Actinomycetota; Actinomycetes; Mycobacteriales; Nocardiaceae
Description: bacterial SSU rRNA
Rfam family: Bacterial small subunit ribosomal RNA
Source: RNAcentral